Molecule: long non-coding RNA, 123 nt
Organism: Amblyraja radiata (thorny skate)
Lineage: Eukaryota; Metazoa; Chordata; Chondrichthyes; Rajiformes; Rajidae
Exons: 3
Source: RefSeq, a predicted model, not a curated record
GUUUCGUGUCCAUCUUCCGUGUUUCAAGUGUUGACGUCGCUGUCAUCGUCGGUCCAGAAAAGGGCGCAAGCUUCCGGCGACCAUCAGUGGGAGCCGUCACUUGCAACCUGGACGCUUCUGCAG